UACCGGGGAUCGAAUUCGGGACCUUGCGCUUGCGAGGCAGGCGGCGGAACCACGGAGCUGAACCCCGGGCACCCCAUGACUUCGUCUUAACCAGCAGAACACGACGUGACACUCCCUUUAUUACGUUACUUCAUAUGGAAAAGGUUAAGUGUGUUCUGUAAGUGUCAUCAUUAUACUGAAUCUACUCAUUUCAAAUUAACACAAAGACAGAUCACCCUGCUGGAUCUUAGAGCACUUCAAAGAAUGGCUGGAACUUUCCUCACGACGACUAUUCUCCCUUGCUCUGAAGAAGCCCUCCACCAUUAGCUCUGCAGCUGCAAAUAAUACUGAACUCAGACUCUAGCCUGAGGUUGACUAGAUCCCUGGCCAAGUCUCCCGGGUGAUACCGAAGCUCAGCCGACAUUUACCUUGCAGCUGAUCAAGAGACCCAGCUGAGCCACGCCUGGCUCGCAGAAACUGCUGAACUACACACGCAUCUUGCUUUACACCAAGUGAGUUUGCGGUAAUUUGUUACAGUGCUGGGCAUUGAACCUAGGUUCUUGUGCAUGCCGGGGAAGCAUAUCACUGAGCUACAUGCCCAGCACCAAAAUUCUUUGGAAAUAGAGGGAAACAAGAUUGCAGGGAAAACCAAACAUCGGUAGAUUCAAGAGCAUCCAGAAAGACACAGCCCCCCAGAUAUGCUCACCUCAAACAGAAGCCGUGGGGAGGCACACACCAGUGACAUACACAAGCAGUAUUUUCAAAAUCAUGUGAAGGGCAAAGGGCAACUCACAUGGUUCCCAGUGGGUGGGUCUGAGGGGCCCUCACCGUGCCCUAGGGCCAGGGGAGGCAAGGCCAUCGUGGUCGUCUCGGCACUCUCAAGACUGUCGAGUUUCUGAACAGCAAAAGAGGUCUGGGAAAUGCUCAUAGCUUCGAUGACUACAUGUUAGCUGGUACCCUGGAUGAGAGUCUUAAUAAAAAGGAUGUUAGGGGGCAAAAUGGGGGAAAUUUAAUUAAUAAG
Fukomys damarensis (Damara mole-rat) is the source of this 1000-nucleotide long non-coding RNA. RefSeq lists it as uncharacterized. Lineage: Eukaryota; Metazoa; Chordata; Mammalia; Rodentia; Bathyergidae. The transcript has 4 exons. The record is from RefSeq and is a predicted model, not a curated record.